UACGUAGGGUGCAAGCGUUAAUCGGAAUUACUGGGCGUAAAGCGUGCGCAGGCGGUUGUGCAAGACAGAUGUGAAAUCCCCGGGCUUAACCUGGGAAUGGCAUUUGUGACUGCACGGCUAGAGUGUGUCAGAGGGGGGUAGAAUUCCACGUGUAGCAGUGAAAUGCGUAGACAUGUGGAGGAAUACCGAUGGCGAAGGCAGCCCCCUGGGAUAACACUGACGCUCAUGCACGAAAGCGUGGGGAGCAAACAGG
Molecule: ribosomal RNA, 253 nt
Filed under: uncultured bacterium
Lineage: Bacteria
Description: partial 16S ribosomal RNA
Rfam family: Bacterial small subunit ribosomal RNA
Source: RNAcentral